This 390-nucleotide ribosomal RNA is filed under the name uncultured bacterium. RNAcentral's name for it is "bacterial SSU rRNA". It matches the Rfam family "Bacterial small subunit ribosomal RNA", at positions 28 to 419 of the family's 1533-position model. The record is from RNAcentral.
GACGAACGCUGGCGGCGUGCUUAACACAUGCAAGUCGAGCGGUAAGGCCCUUUCGGGGGUACACGGGCGGCGAACGGGUGAGUAACACGUGGGUGACCUGCCCUCAGCUCUGGGAUAAGCCUGGGAAACCGGGUCUAAUACUGGAUAUGACUCCAUGACGCAUGUUGUGGGGUGGAAAGCCUUGUGCGGCUGAGGAUGGGCCCGCGGCCUAUCAGCUUGUUGGUGGGGUGANGGCCUACCAAGGCGACGACGGGUAGCCGGCCUGAGAGGGCGACCGGCCACACUGGGACUGAGACACGGCCCAGACUCCUACGGGAGGCAGCAGUGGGGAGUCUUGCGCAAUGGGCGAAAGCCUGACGCAGCGACGCCGCGUGAGGGAUGACGGCCUGG